CAACUCUAUGCGGUGGAUCACUCGGCUCGUGC
Molecule: ribosomal RNA, 32 nt
Filed under: Corbicula sp. form B ddd4
Lineage: Eukaryota; Metazoa; Mollusca; Bivalvia; Venerida; Cyrenidae
Description: partial 5.8S ribosomal RNA
Source: RNAcentral